AGUGAACGCUGGCGGUAGGCCUAACACAUGCCAGUCGAACGGCAGCACAGUAAGAGCUUGCUCUUACGGGUGGCGAGUGGCGGACGGGUGAGGAAUACAUCGGAAUCUACUUUUUCGUGGGGGAUAACGUAGGGAAACUUACGCUAAUACCGCAUACGACCUACGGGUGAAAGCAGGGGAUCUUCGGACCUUGCGCGAUUGAAUGAGCCGAUGUCGGAUUAGCUAGUUGGCGGGGUAAAGGCUCACCAAGGCGACGAUCCGUAGCUGGUCUGAGAGGAUGAUCAGCCACACUGGAACUGAGACACGGUCCAGACUCCUACGGGAGGCAGCAGUGGGGAAUAUUGGACAAUGGGCGCAAGCCUGACGCAGCAAUACCGCGUGGGUGAAGAAGGCCUUCGGGUUGUAAAGCCCUUUUGUUGGGAAAGAAAAGCAGCAGGUUAAUACCUCGCUGUCCUGACGGUACCCAAAGAAUAAGCACCGGCUAACUUCGUG
Molecule: ribosomal RNA, 492 nt
Filed under: uncultured bacterium
Lineage: Bacteria
Description: partial 16S ribosomal RNA
Rfam family: Bacterial small subunit ribosomal RNA
Source: RNAcentral